UCUCUCCCCUUUUUUUUUUAAAGUGUUUAUUUUUGAGAGAGUGUGUGUGUGAGCACAGGAGGGGCAGAGACAGAGGGAGACAGAGGAUCCAAAACAAAGCAGGUUCUGCAUGAGAGCCCCACGUGGGGCUCAAAUUCACGAACCACGAGAUCAGGACCUGAGCUGAAUUCGGACAUUUAACUGACGAAGCCAUCCACGUGCCCCUAAAUUUUCUCCUUUAAAAUUUUUUUUAAUGUUUUUAUUUAUUUUUGAGACAGAGAGAGACAGAGCAUGAGCAGGGGAGGGGCAGAGAGAGAGAGGGAGACACGGAAUCCGAAGCAGGCUCCAGGCUCCGAGCCGUCAGCCCAGAGCCCGACGCGGGGCUCGAAUUUACAAGCCAUGAGAUCGUGACCUGAGCCAAAGCCAGACGCCCCUCUCCUUUUUUCUUGCUGAAAAUUCAUGCGUUUAUAGUCAUCAGUUAUGAUACCUGGUGAAUCUCAGCCAACACGGACUGCAGGAAAGGAAAACCCAUCGCCAGCUCAACAUGACAUGCGAGAAGGGUCGUGAUUUCAGUGACAGAGUUUGUACCCAGAGCCAGUGGUGUGGUAAAUGCUGCCACACGCACAAAGCAGCGAGGCAGGCUGGCAAAACUAAUUGGACCAGAAACUUCCCUCAGCUUCUCCCGGAGGCCUCUGCACGGUCCUGGAAGGACCCGUGUUCCCAGGAGGUCACAGCCCCUGCUCCGUGGCUCCGUGGCCAGUCUGCAGGGCAGAGCCCAAGGUCCGCUGCAUGUAAGAGUGGAAGUUAACCCCAGAGGUGAGUUCCGGGGAUCUGGGCAGAAAGAGGAGGGUCGUCAUAGCCGCCAGCACCGAAGACGGUGCGGACGUGGGGUCCUCUGAUGCCAGUCCUGCUCCCGCUGCCCUCCGUCUCCAGCACGAACCGUGGGACCAGGGACAGUCCCUCCUGGACCCCAUCCCCUUAGUGGGGAGAUGGGGGGUGGUUGCUUAUCUUACUGGGUGAAUCAAAGGAAUCAAUGGAAAUGAAGAAUAUUCACAAAUUAAUCAUGUAAACUGGAGACACCAGCUAAGUGUAAGGCAUGAACAAGUCCCACUAAACUGCCUUUCAAUUCUGCCUUUAUUUCCUUAAUGUGUUUAUGAUAGGUAAUUAUUCCAUACAUCGCAUGGGAACAUCAUGUCACUUUCUGCAAGUAAAGAAUCUUAUA
This is a long non-coding RNA of Acinonyx jubatus (cheetah), 1201 nucleotides long. RefSeq lists it as uncharacterized. The transcript is spliced from 3 exons. NCBI's taxonomy places the organism in Eukaryota, Metazoa, Chordata, Mammalia, Carnivora, Felidae. The record is from RefSeq and is a predicted model, not a curated record.